AGAUUGAACGCUGGCGGCAGGCCUAACACAUGCAAGUCGAGCGGUAGAGAGGUGCUUGCACCUCUUGAGAGCGGCGGACGGGUGAGUAAUGCCCAGGAAUCUGCCUAGUGGUAGGGGGAUAACGUUCGGAAACGGACGCUAAUACCGCAUACGUCCUACGGGAGAAAGGCGGGGGACCUUCGGGCCUCGCGCCAUUAGAUGAGCCUAGGUCGAUUAGCUAGUUGGUGAGGUAAUGGCUCACCAAGGCGACGAUCCCGUAACUGGUCUGGAGAGGAUGAUCAGUCACACUGGAACUGAGACGACGGUCCAGACUCCUACGGGAGGCAGCAGGUGGGAAUAGUUGGACAAGUGGGCGAAAGCCUGACUCCAGCCAUGCCGCGUGUGUUAGAAGAAGGUCUUCGGAUUGUAAAGC
Molecule: ribosomal RNA, 412 nt
Filed under: uncultured soil bacterium
Lineage: Bacteria
Description: bacterial SSU rRNA
Rfam family: Bacterial small subunit ribosomal RNA
Source: RNAcentral